ACCUUAAUGACCGGGAUAACACCGGGAAACUGGUGCUAAUACCGGAUACGCUUGCGAGGACACAUGUUUUUGCAAGGAAAGGAGCAAUCCGCAUUAAGAUGGGUCCGCGUCCCAUUAGCUAGUUGGAGGUGUAAAGGACCCCCAAGGCGACGAUGGGUAGCCGGCCUGAGAGGGUGGACGGCCACACUGGAACUGAGACACGGUCCAGACUCCUACGGGAGGCAGCAGUGGGGAACCUUCCGCAAUGGGCGAAAGCCUGACGGAGCAACGCCGCGUGAAUGAAGAANGCCUUCGGGUUGUAAAAUUCUGUCUUCAGGGAAGAAGAAAGUGACGGUACCUGAGGAGGAAGCCCCGGCUAACUACGUGCCAGCAGCCGCGGUAAAACGUAGGGGGCGAGCGUUGUCCGGAAUUACUGGGCGUAAAGGGCGCGUAGGCGGUUUCUUAAGUCUCGAGGUGAAAACUAUCGGCUUAACCGGUAGCCUGCCUGAGAAACUGGGGGACUUGAGGGCAGGAGAGGGGAGUGGAAUUCCCAGUGUAGCGGUGGAAUGCGUAGAUAUUGGGAGGAACGCCGGUGGCGAAGGCGGCUCGCUGGCCUGUUACUGACGCUGAGGCGCGAAAGCGUGGGGAGCGAACGGGAUUAGAUACCCCGGUAGUCCACGCCGUAAACGAUGGGUGCUAGGUGUAGGAGGUAUCGACCCCUUCUGUGCCGUAGUUAACACAAUAAGCACCCCGCCUGGGGAGUACGGCCGCAAGGUUGAAACUCAAAGGAAUUGACGGGGGCCCGCACAAGCGGUGGAGCAUGUGGUUUAAUUCGACGCAACGCGAANAACCUUACCAGGGUUUGACAUCCCCUGACAGCGCAUGAAAGUGCGUUUUCCAGCUUCGGUUGGACAGGGAGACAGGUGGUGCAUGGUUGUCGUCAGCUCGUGUUGUGAGAUGUUGGGUUAAGUCCCGCAACGAGCGCAACCCCUACGUUUAGUUGCUAACAGGUGAAGCUGAGCACUCUAGAGGAACUGCUGU
RNAcentral lists this ribosomal RNA (1020 nucleotides) under Desulfotomaculum sp. DEM-KMe98-5. RNAcentral describes it as "bacterial SSU rRNA". It matches the Rfam family "Bacterial small subunit ribosomal RNA", at positions 128 to 1155 of the family's 1533-position model. Lineage: Bacteria; Bacillati; Bacillota; Clostridia; Eubacteriales; Desulfotomaculaceae. The record is from RNAcentral.